CGACUUCUGAGCCUGUCCCCGACUUCUAGAGACUCCAGUUCCCCGCGGGGAUCCGGCGCCACGGGGGCGCGGACCGCCUGUAAAUGACGCGGAAUGAACCCGAGUUACCUGAGCCCGGACUUCGUGUGCAGCUGGGAGAGAGACGGAACGGGUUACCUGUGAUCCUGCAGACGCUGGGGCUCCGGGCUCCUGGGGCUGGGGCCCGGGGACUCCUGCGUCUCAGGGAGGGGAGCACUAGACGACCUUCCAUUCCUGAGCGAGUGGGAAUUAGGGGGCUGCUUGCCUGUACCUCUGUGGGGUUCUGGACGCGCUCAGAUAGCCCUAACCCUUCUCGAUCGCCUACUUCCCGCCUGAUGUUCGUGUUUGCCUGUAGCAGGAUAAGCACAACCACGCCGCUGGAUGGACAUGUCAGUUACAGCACUCGUGGUGUUUCUGUGUGAGCGCUGUGUGUCUUGCAGGCGCUGAGCCAUUUCAUUUCAUCCGCAACACGAUCUCAUUGGCUGUAGCCCGAGGCCCAUAACUGGCCUGAGGUCACCUCUCUGGAGCNNNNNNNNNNNNNNNNNNNNNNNNNNNNNNNNNNNNNNNNNNNNACGGUGGAAUUAGUCCUUAUCCCCACUACCACCUGAAUCUCUGAUGGAUGAAGAGCAACUGGGGCGGCUCUCCAGACUUCAGGUUCCAGAGGCAGAGCUGGGUGAGCUUGGGUCAGUGACUUAACCUCUCGAAUCUUCCAUUUGCUCCGCUGAAAAUGGAAUCAAGGCCUCCCUCCAAAGCACUGUUGUGAAUAUUUGAUAAAGCGCUCAAUAAAUGCUGUCCGACUUGGCUGGUCACACGAAGGUUUGGCCACCAGGGGGCGCUCGAUUUUGGGGUUUCUGCCCUGCCGAUCCAGACAGGUGUGAGGCUCGGAAACUGCCUGCCUGACGCCUGAGGAGGCUUGGGGUCCUCAGUCCCACCUCCAAGCUUUGCUGGGCUGCUCCUUUGUUAGAAAUUCCCUCCUUUCCCAUCUUCCUGCUCACAUCCUCCAGGAGCCUCCUGGAAGUGUCCCUGAAUCUCUUCUCCCACCCUGCCCAGCCCAGGACAUCGGGAAUCUCCCAAACCCCAGCUGCUGGGUCCUGUCCUUAUCGUGUGGCCAUUCAGCCCUUUGGGGCCUUGUUCUCCCUAAUUGAACUGAACUCUGGGGACAGAAACCAGAUGUGUGUUUCCACUAGAUAACAGAACAUCAUUCUUUCCACAUUUAUGGAGCCCUUGAUGUCUGCAAGGGCAUUUCUAGACAUUGGUGGGAGAGAAAAUUUUAAAAAAAUUAAAGCCAUUUGGUCGCGGAGUUUACAAUCUUGUGGGAGAGAGGUAAUAGGUAAAUAUGUAACAUGAAGUCAUAAUGAUGGGUGCUAUGAAUAGGAAACAAAACAACAUAAGGGGAAAGGGAGUGAAGAGUCCUAUUUUAGUUUUGAGAGGCCAAGGCCUCUUUGAGAAGGUGACUUUUGAGCAAAGACUAAAAUAAAGCAAACAAGGGGCUUCCGUGGUGGUCCAGUGGAUAAUACUCAGCACUCUCAAUGCAGAGGGCCUGGGUUCGAUCUCUGGUCAGAGAACUAGAUCCCACAUACCACAAGGAAAGAUCCCGUGUGCCCUAAGACUUGGUGCAGCCAAAUAAAUCUUUAAAACAGUACCAAAUAAAGCAAACAAGGUUUCCAGCCUUAAUGGAAUAUCUCAUGUCAGUAACGCUUCCACUAAGACCAACUAGGAACACACACACACACACACACACACACACACACACACGCUAUUUGAACACAUCAAAUAGCUAUCAAGGCAGCUAAGAGCCCAGAAAAAAGAGCAGCUCGUUCAGCAGGAGGGGCCAGAAGGCACAGAAAGCAAGCAGAAAGCAUAAGCUAAGCUGAGCUGAACUUUCAGUAGCAACACAGGGCUGGAGACAGAAAUGAAGUGUGGGGCCAACGAGGCAGGCAGGACUGGAGGGGCCAAAAUACUGGGCAGAAGGGAAGAGCAUUGGGAUCAGCCCAUCNNNUAAGAGACACUCCCUUGCCAGCUGGGUGUCCUACCCCUUCACCAGACCCUAGCAGGGGAUUCAGGAUCUCCUUGUGCCUUGACUCCAGGGUCGCCAGGAUGCAAAUGUCAGGUAUUAGGGUCAGCACCGAAGAGGGACAGAGAGAACCAGAGCUCAAAAAGCAUGACAAUAAUGAGAGGCUGAAACUGGGAAGUGAGGUGCUGGCUCCAGCCCAGAAUUAGAUGUGGUGUUUCCAGGUUUCUGGGGUCAAUCUGAGUUCAGAAAGCCGCUGGAUCUGUAGAUGGCUCUCAGUCGACUCUCAGGUUUCUAAUGAGUCCUGCAAUCACGCCUUGAGAAUGAGUUCUAACCUCUUAUCAAUUCCUCCAGUCCCAGAAAACCUUCCCUCUUUAUAGCAUCUAUCGAAUCUUCCUCUCCUUACCCCACUACUACUUUUUCCUGACCUUGCCUGGCUUUCUCUACUCUUCAUAAUUCUCUGUGCAGUGGUCCAUUGAGGCCCCAAGAUCCUUUCCCCACUCUGAAUAUUUACCGUUCAUGUAGAAUGAAGGAAAACUUAGAAUUUACUUUUGUGACCUAUCAGUUAAACCAGAUUUCUGAGACUUCAUUCCUUUAUUUAGGCUGAAUCAGGACUUGACAGACCACCAGGCAUAGAAAAUGAUCAUAACCAUGUUCUCUAUCAUCCAGAGUCCCGUGGAAGUAGGACAAAGGGGUUAAAAACAAGCGCAGAAUAUCAACCUACUGGAAAGUGAGGGGAGAAAGAGGAGAAACCUGACACAGAAGAUUUUCUGCUAAGGGUGAGGGUAGUCAGUCCUGAGGGAAAGGAACUCAGUGGCCUGUGAGAAAUGCAUUGUGUCUCUGAAGCUAANNNNNNNNNNNNNNNNNNNNNNNNNNNNNNNNNNNNNNNNNNNNNNNNNNNNNNNNNNNNNNNNNNNNNNNNNNNNNNNNNNNNNNNNNNNNNNNNNNNAAAGGAACUCAGUGGCCUGUGAGAAAUGCAUUGUGUCUCUGAAGCUAAGUCCCCUAACCCCCUGGAAGAGGAGGUUUUCAGGGUAGACUGAGGAGGAGCUUGGCUGUCCCCUGCCCAGCACCUCUGUCCUGAGGGACAGAAGGUCACCAGUCCCGUUUCCCAGCCCUCUUUCUUCUGCAUUUGAGACUAGUCGAGGAUCUGCCCCCAGGGGGCACUCCAAUCACCUUGCCAGACCCCUGGAGCGCCUAGCUGAAGGGUUGUCGCUGUCCAUGGUCCUGGAGCGUGGCUGGGGUCCCAGUAAUGGACACUAGAACUAUUAACUACUUUCCUCACAGCCACUUGAUAAAGUUUAGGAAAUAAUUUAUCCUUGUUUAGGUGAUUGUUUUGUGUUGUGGGCGUGUACUCGCCAAGGCCCAC
This 3395-nucleotide long non-coding RNA is filed under the name Capra hircus (goat). Its description in RNAcentral is "lncRNA (ENSCHIG00010016119.1)". Lineage: Eukaryota; Metazoa; Chordata; Mammalia; Artiodactyla; Bovidae. The record is from RNAcentral.